Molecule: ribosomal RNA, 254 nt
Filed under: uncultured bacterium
Lineage: Bacteria
Description: partial 16S ribosomal RNA
Rfam family: Bacterial small subunit ribosomal RNA
Source: RNAcentral
UACGUAGGUGGCAAGCGUUGUCCGGAAUUAUUGGGCGUAAAGCGCGCGCAGGCGGUCCUUUAAGUCUGAUGUGAAAGCCCACGGCUCAACCGUGGAGGGUCAUUGGAAACUGGGGGACUUGAGUGCAGGAGAGAAGAGUGGAAUUCCACGUGUAGCGGUGAAAUGCGUAGAGAUGUGGAGGAACACCAGUGGCGAAGGCGACUCUUUGGCCUGUAACUGACCGCUGAGGCGCGAAAGCGUGGGGAGCAAACAGG